GAGAGCAUCCAAGGGGGAGAGCAUUCGGCUCUCCCAUGGGAAAGCAUGGGCAUGAGUGAGAGAAAAUCAAGAGAGUUAGAGUGAAAAUUAUUCUAGUGAAAGAACUCUUGGGGUAGAGUGAGGCUCUUGGGAAAAUUCUAUGAGUGGGUGUACAAGGGAUUUGGGAUUGGGUUAUGUCGAUUUAACUCAUGUGUACUUGUACUGUUAUUCUCAUAGUGAAGAGCAAUAUCUCUCCGGGGACGUAGGCAGG
This 250-nucleotide long non-coding RNA is filed under the name Malus domestica (apple). RNAcentral's name for it is "long non-coding RNA (MDOM_LNC005428)". Lineage: Eukaryota; Viridiplantae; Streptophyta; Magnoliopsida; Rosales; Rosaceae. The record is from RNAcentral.